Molecule: long non-coding RNA, 2482 nt
Organism: Bos taurus (domestic cattle)
Lineage: Eukaryota; Metazoa; Chordata; Mammalia; Artiodactyla; Bovidae
Source: Ensembl
GAAUCCUAACUCAUGGGGAAUGUGAGGAUUAAAUGAGUCAACUCACCUUACAGUACCUGGCCCACAGCAGACACCCUGCUUGGUAAUGUUGGCCGUCAUCCUUCUCAGGACCACCCAACAAAGGCGUCCCUAGGGUAAACACGGCAGGACGCUUCUUCUUCCUCACCCAGGGACUUGCCACACUGCAGAGGGCUGCCCAGGCAGGACUGGAGAAGGUGGGCGGUCUGGUCCUUCAUGCAGUCGUGGUUGAGCCCGGAGUAGCGCCGUGAACUUCUGCUCCCCUUCCUACCCCGCCAGCUCUCCUGACAAAGCUCCAGUGUGGCUGCGCUCCACCUCCUCAUGGAGCCACAUUGGAAUCACCUGGAAGCUUGACCAUUUAUUUGAGCCAGGUGAUUCUCAUGUGCAGCCAAGACUGAGAACCUCAUGAAGACAGAUAAGCAGGGCUACUCCCGAGGGUGAGUGCUCAGCUUUUAUUGGAAGCAGGCUUGGCCUGAGUGCAUCUGAAUUCAUCCUUCCUGGUGCCCAAACCAGCCCAGAGAAUUCCUGUGGCUGGAGUGACCCAUACAGACAAUGUUAUAGAAAGGAUGCCAGCAACUAACGGGGCACAGAACUACAGGAGUGGGCAGGCUGUAAGGGCUCCCUAACUGAGAAUGCCGUGUCUCCAUGCAACACCCUGGGUCUGCCUCUAAUGCCUGGAGUCUUUCCUGUUCCAAGAACCAGCAAGGCUGUGGUCAUGUGAAAAGCAUUCUUGGGGGUUGUGUGUGCACAGCCAACAUGACUGCACACAAGGGCCUCGACCAAAGGCAGUACACACAAUGUCUGGCAUCUCUCAGGACAGUGAUCCAAAACACGUGUUUGGCCAAGGCUCAGGAAGACCCCACACUAAUAGGCCCCACCACGCCAUCAGCCAGGAGGGAAGCCUGCCUGUCCCCGUCCUCACCGAAGGAUGGUCACCAACAGGAGAAGCUGCUCUAGAAGCACGGGAGGAAGACGCUCAGCCCAGAUCCACUCCAGAUCCCACAAAUAGGCUUGAGCAGGCUUGGGCAAAGCGUGGAUUAUGUAAAUACGUAUUUGGGGACUUUUUAAACACAGAUUAUUCACCCAAUUAACUCUAAUGGCCCCUCAGAGCUGAGAGAGAGUAUUGUGUAAACACGUGGGGCUGAAUGUGGCCUCAGCCCCAAGAUUUCCUCAAAAGACGGGGUUUACGAGUCCCCCAUAAGGGUUCCCCCUGGGCCCCAACUUGGCAGAUAAGUUCAUUGCCCGAAAGGGAAUUCUUGCCUAAAAAUCUGAAAAGGGUAAGAAUAAAAAGAAGGAUCUAGCCCCCUUUUAGCAAGUAGGGAGCUCUCUGGGUACAGAUUUUAUAUAUAUUUUCAUUUGCCAUAAAACAUACCAUUAUAUGACAUAGAACAUCUGGUAGCCUAUGGUAGCCUAGCUCUUUCCCAAUAAUAGGAGAAAUUGUAGAUUUCUCUCCAGCAGCCACUUACGUUCACAUAUUCUAAAUGUUUCCCACUGGAUACAACACAGCCGGGAGGGCGGCCAAACCCGGGCCUGCCUCAGUGAGGCGGUGGGAGACCCACCCCAGUCAGUCCUGUUAAGAACAGGGAGGUUCGGCACACCAGUCCCAGCGGGGAGCCCCCAGGAGGGGCUGGGCCUCCUCCAAGAGAUGAGCACAGGGUCGACCCCCCAACGCAGAGAGCCUUGGAGUCCAAGGGGGUGUGUCCAUGGUCAAGUCUGCUGACCGAUGGGGGAACAGGGGCGAUCUUCCUGACCCAGAGAUCAAACCCAGGUCUCCUGCAUUGCAGGCAGACUCCUUACUGUCUGAGCCACCAAGGAAGCCAAGCAGGAAGUCUGUCAGAGCAAAUGUCAUUUCCCCCAGAAGCCAAGUAUGGGCUCUUACAACUCUUUGGUGGCCGAUGACCAAACAAAAAUUACUCCCAGUGCUGGGCACUUGGCACACGGUGGUGUUCAGUAACCAUCUGAACAAAAGGGCUUCACCAAGACAAAUAACCAGGAGGAGGAGGCAUCUCCAGGCUGCACACUGAGAAUGGUACGGAAGCAGGGAGAGAAGGGGCAGGCACCACCUCCCUCGAUUCAGCUCUGCCAACAGCCCUGUGAGGGCUCUAUUUAGGAUGCCUGGGGCUCGUUCAUCCUGACAGCGCAGGAGACCUGGCGGGUCCAAGCAGAGGAAUCAACAUGAGCAGAAGAAUGGUGGUGCAAGGCAGCCAGUGUGUUUGGGAAAUGUGAGAAGGUCAGCAGGGCUCGAGGAAGUUCUAGAGAACACAGAGGAGAGCCGCAGCAGUCUACAGAGCUGGGGGCGGAGGCCACCACAUGCCAGCCCGAGGAGCCUGGGUGCUAUCCUGGAUGACAGAGAGCAUGACCUUAACUUGUCACCCACGCAGGAGACAGUCACCAGCUGCUUCAGUGUUGUAAGCAGGGGACCCCCACUCAGAUCUUUCAGCAGGUCAGCAUCACAUCAUUAGGC